AUUGAACGCUGGCGGCAGGCCUAACACAUGCAAGUAGAACGAGUGGCGGACGGGUGAGUAAUGUCUGGGAAACUGCCCGAUGGAGGGGGAUAACUACUGGAAACGGUAGCUAAUACCGCAUACCCUCGGAUGUGCCCAGAUGGGAUUAGCUAGUCGGUGGGGUACCGGCUCACCUAGGCGACGAUCCCUAGCUGGUCUGAGAGGAUGACCAGCCACACUGGAACUGAGACACGGUCCAGCCGCCUACGGGAGGCAGCAGUGGGGAAUAUUGCACAAGGGGCGCGAGCCUGAUGCAGCCAUGCCGCGUGGAUGAAGAAGGCCUUCGGGUUGUAAAGUACUUUCAGCGAGGAGGCGUUACUCGCAGAGGAAGCACCGGCUAACUCCGUGCCAGCAGCCGCGGUAAUUC
RNAcentral lists this ribosomal RNA (406 nucleotides) under uncultured bacterium. RNAcentral describes it as "partial 16S ribosomal RNA". It matches the Rfam family "Bacterial small subunit ribosomal RNA", at positions 30 to 526 of the family's 1533-position model. The record is from RNAcentral.